Molecule: transfer RNA, 71 nt
Filed under: Ictidomys tridecemlineatus (thirteen-lined ground squirrel)
Lineage: Eukaryota; Metazoa; Chordata; Mammalia; Rodentia; Sciuridae
Description: Spermophilus tridecemlineatus (thirteen-lined ground squirrel) tRNA
Rfam family: tRNA
About the family: Transfer RNA (tRNA) molecules are approximately 80 nucleotides in length. Their secondary structure includes four short double-helical elements and three loops (D, anti-codon, and T loops).
Source: Rfam by way of RNAcentral
GGGAGUGUAGCUCAGCGUAGAGCACUUGCCUGGUACGCAUGAGGCCCUGUGUUGGAUCUUCAACAUCCCCU